AGAGUUUGAUCCUGGCUCAGAAUGAACGCUGACGGCGUGCUUUACACAUGCAAGUCGAGCGAGAAAGUGGACUUCGGUCCGCGAGUACAGCGGCGAACGGGUGAGGAACGCGUGGGCAACCUGUCUUGGAGUGGGGAACAACUUGGGGAAACUCGAGCUAAUACCGCAUGCCUUCCUGAGACUUCGGUCUCUUGAAGAAAGGUGGCGUUUCGGCGCUGCCGCUCCUUGAGGGGCCCGCGUCCGAUUAGCUAGUUGGUGAGGUAGUGGCCCACCAAGGCGACGAUCGGUAGCCGGCCUGAGAGGGUGAUCGGCCACACUGGAACUGAGACACGGUCCAGACUCCUACGGGAGGCAGCAGUGGGGAAUAUUGCGCAAUGGGGGAAACCCUGACGCAGCAACGCCGCGUGAAGGAUGAAGGCCUUCGGGUCGUAAACUUCUGUCAGGUGGGAAGAAGGCCUCGUAGGUUAAGAGCUAGUGAGGCUUGACGGUACCACCAGAGGAAGCCCCGGCUAACUCCGUGCCAGCAGCCGCGGUAAUACGGAGGGGGCGAGCGUUAUUCGGAUUUAUUGGGCGUAAAGGGCGUGUAGGCGGCAUGGUAAGUCAAAGGUGAAAUCCCUCGGCUCAACCGAGGAACUGCCUUUGAAACUGCCGAGCUAGAGUCGGGGAGAGGGUAGCGGAAUUCCCAGUGUAGCGGUGAAA
This 699-nucleotide ribosomal RNA is filed under the name uncultured bacterium. RNAcentral's name for it is "bacterial SSU rRNA". It matches the Rfam family "Bacterial small subunit ribosomal RNA", at positions 8 to 686 of the family's 1533-position model. The record is from RNAcentral.